AUAACUUUCCCGGUCUUUUGGCUAAGAUCAAGUGUCGUUUUUGUUCUCAUCAUUGUAAUAUCGGCUACAUGAUAUUAGAUUUAAUUUUUAUGUGAUGGAGUGGCCUCUAGACAAACUUUCUAGUGGGCCCCUUGUCCAUGCGUUGCGCUGCUACUCGGUCCUGGUGCACCUGG
Molecule: small nuclear RNA, 173 nt
Filed under: Amborella trichopoda
Lineage: Eukaryota; Viridiplantae; Streptophyta; Magnoliopsida; Amborellales; Amborellaceae
Description: U2 spliceosomal RNA
Rfam family: U2 spliceosomal RNA
About the family: U2 is a small nuclear RNA (snRNA) component of the spliceosome (involved in pre-mRNA splicing).
Source: Rfam by way of RNAcentral